Molecule: ribosomal RNA, 232 nt
Filed under: uncultured bacterium
Lineage: Bacteria
Description: partial 16S ribosomal RNA
Rfam family: Bacterial small subunit ribosomal RNA
Source: RNAcentral
CGGACGGGUGAGUAAUGCUUAGGAAUCUGCCCAAUAGUGGGGGACGACUCGGGGAAACUCGAGCUAAUACCGCAUACGCCCUACGGGGGAAAGCAGGGGAUCUUCGGACCUUGCGCUAUUGGAUGAGCCUAAGUCGGAUUAGCUUGUUGGUGAGGUAAAAGCUCACCAAGGCGACGAUCCGUAGCUGGCCUGAGAGGACGAUCAGCCACACUGGGACUGAGACACGGCCCAG